RNAcentral lists this non-coding RNA (183 nucleotides) under Paenibacillus lycopersici. Its description in RNAcentral is "6S / SsrS RNA". It matches the Rfam family "6S / SsrS RNA". Rfam says of the family: E. coli 6S RNA was the first non coding RNA to be sequenced, but its function was unknown until recently. It consists of 184 nucleotides that fold into an extended hairpin structure with a large single-stranded internal bulge. Lineage: Bacteria; Bacillati; Bacillota; Bacilli; Caryophanales; Paenibacillaceae. The record is from Rfam by way of RNAcentral.
UACAUCCUGCGGUGUGCGUUACGGCUUAUAACUUGUUUUGAACCAAUGGCUGUUUUUAGGGAGACUAAUAUUGAAACGCGGCUGACAAGCCCUCGAAAAGGGAUCUCAAAAACGUUUCUGCGGCCACCCACCUGCGAGAGCGGGUUCAGAAACAAGCUAGUCGGACGGCAUGGCGGGUAACUU